This 505-nucleotide ribosomal RNA is filed under the name uncultured bacterium. RNAcentral's name for it is "bacterial SSU rRNA". It matches the Rfam family "Bacterial small subunit ribosomal RNA", at positions 19 to 518 of the family's 1533-position model. The record is from RNAcentral.
AUGGCUCAGGAUGAACGCUAGCGGCAGGCUUAACACAUGCAAGUCGAGGGGCAACGCGAGUAGCAAUACUUGGCGGCGACCGGCGCAAGGGUGCGUAACGCGUGAGCAACAUGCCCGUAUCAGGGGGAUAAUCCAGGGAAACUUGGUCUAAUACCCCAUAGUAAUUUUGUAAGGCAUCUUAUAAGAUUUAAAGCUUUGGUGGAUACGGAUUGGCUCGCGUGACAUUAGCUGGAUGGUAAGGUAACGGCUUACCAUGGCUAUGAUGUCUAGGGGUUCUGAGAGGAAGGUCCCCCACACUGGAACUGAGACACGGUCCAGACUCCUACGGGAGGCAGCAGUGAGGAAUAUUGGACAAUGGAUGGAAAUCUGAUCCAGCCAUGCCGCGUGAAGGAAAGAAGGUCCUAUGGAUUGUAAACUUCUUUUGUAUGGGAGCAAUAAGGCCUACGAGUAGGCUGAUGAGAGUACCAUACGAAUAAGCACCGGCUAACUCCGUGCCAGCAGCGGC